CCCUCAAAUCCUAAAUUGAACUUCUCAAGUUCUUCUUUUUAUAUGAGCCGCUUCUUCGAUCCAGAAUUCCCAGCAAAUCCUUGACAUACACAACUCAAAUGCAUGUCCCUCUUUCUCUCUUUAUUUCACCAAAUAUGCUAUGGAUUUAGGGGUUUAUUAGUCGUUUUUGUUCAAUUGAUUGAUGAAGUUGGGUUGGAUUGGGCUGUCAAAUUCUUGAAUCGUAAUUAUAAAAUUCUGAUAACUUGACUGAGGCUCUGAUGUUCUUGUCACAUUUUGUUGGUGAUGUUCACCAGGUUCUGUCAAUCAUUUGAUUAAUUAGCUGAGGCUAGAGAUGUGGGGGAUUGUUUGCAAGCACAUGAAGCUCUGAUUUCUCAUAUCUGCUUCUAAGGCUCAAGCAGCUUUCAGGAGGCAACGUUCCAUUGGUAUUUUCCCUCUUUGUUUCUGAAUUACGAUUAACAAGAUGUUAUUUUUACAUUCAUGGAAGGGCCACAAAAUCUCUUGUAAACUUUAUAGAUAAAAUACUCUGCAUAAUUUCUUGUUUUACUCUACAAAUUUACUUUUCUUGUUAUUAAUGUGAUUUUUUUUGU
Long non-coding RNA from Spinacia oleracea (spinach), 587 nucleotides. RefSeq lists it as uncharacterized. The record is from RefSeq and is a predicted model, not a curated record. Lineage: Eukaryota; Viridiplantae; Streptophyta; Magnoliopsida; Caryophyllales; Amaranthaceae. The transcript is spliced from 3 exons.